AUACGGAGGAUCCGAGCGUUAUCCGGAUUUAUUGGGUUUAAAGGGUGCGCAGGCGGCCAUUUAAGUCAGCGGUUAAAUCGUGGGGCUCAACCCCAUUCUGCCGUUGAUACUGGGUGGCUUGAUUGCGGUCGAGGUUGGCGGAAUUCGUUGUGUAGCGGUGAAAUGCAUAGAUAUGACGAAGAACACCGAUUGCGUAGGCAGCUGACCAGACCGCAAAUGACGCUCAUGCACGAAAGUGCGGGGAUCGAACAGGAUUAGAUACCCUGGUAGUCCGCACAGUAAACGAUGAAUACUUGUUUUCGGCGAUAUAAUGUCGGAGGCAAAGCGAAAGCGAUAAGUAUUCCACCUGGGGAGUACGCCGGCAACGGUG
RNAcentral lists this ribosomal RNA (370 nucleotides) under uncultured bacterium. Its description in RNAcentral is "partial 16S ribosomal RNA". It matches the Rfam family "Bacterial small subunit ribosomal RNA", at positions 523 to 896 of the family's 1533-position model. The record is from RNAcentral.